AACGGCCAUACCAUGCUGAAUAUACCGGUUUUCGUUAGAUCACCGAAGUCAAGCAUCAUUGGGCGCGGUCAGUACUUGGGUGGGUGACCACCUGGGAACACUGCGUGCCGUU
RNAcentral lists this ribosomal RNA (112 nucleotides) under Caerostris darwini. The record is from RNAcentral. Lineage: Eukaryota; Metazoa; Arthropoda; Arachnida; Araneae; Araneidae.